RNAcentral lists this long non-coding RNA (3294 nucleotides) under Homo sapiens (human). RNAcentral's name for it is "PREDICTED lncRNA (TCONS_00222785)". The record is from RNAcentral. Lineage: Eukaryota; Metazoa; Chordata; Mammalia; Primates; Hominidae.
GGGCGGGGCCUGCCGCCGCCACCGCCUCAGGGAAGAGGAAGGAGGCCGCGGCUUCGCGUCCCGCCUCUCGCCUGGCUGGCCGUGGGGGGCCUGGACGCAGUGGCCUCCCGAAUCUCCCAGGACCCUAAUAUCGCCCGAGGAUGCUGGGAGGAACGCUGAGCCGACCUCUCCGUUAGGCUGAAGAUUGCACAAACCAUGCUAAUGGCCAGCAUGGAUGGAGGGAGCGUGUGAGAUGUGUGGGGCAGCGUGCUGCAUCUCAGCCAACUCCAGGAGCCAGUUGAUGUGAUGGACUACCUUAAUUGAUUUUUGAAUGUUGAGCCAGCCUUAUGCAUGUGGGAUAAACCCCUGUUGAUCAUGGCUGGCUGGAGUGCAGUGGUGCAAUCAUGGCUCACUGCAACCUCAAAUUCCUGGGCUCAAGGGAUCCUCCUGCCUCAGCCUCCCAAGUAGCUAGGACUACAGAUGGAACGAAGUCUGUUUGUGGAAACACCCUUCCCCUCUGUUUACUUGGACCUGAUUUUGAAAGUAACAAGUCACUUUAUUUGGGCUGGAGGAAAAAGCACUAAACCAGAUGUUGAGGUGACCGGGAUUCCUGGAAGACAUUCUUCUCUCCAACGAGACACAUGAUGCAUGAAGUAGGAGCCCCUGGCAAGGAGCCCAGGCUGCCAUGGCCUCGCUCGCUCCUGCUUCCCGGCAUGGCCCCGAGGCUAGCUGCCUCUGUACUGCCUGAGCAUCGUCCCCUGGCGUGUCACCAGACUACCCACUACCUGUGCUUGCACCUGCAGGUGGGCAGUUCAGUCGUUGCAGGCUGAAGCUCCCUGUCACAGGAGUCCAUCAGCACUGGAGUUUACCAAAUGGCCCAGUCCAGGUCUGUGUCAUAUUGUUUUGCAAAAGCAAGAAAACUCAUUCAGAGCUUGUUACUUUUAUCCCUGACUUCCUAAGUGAGCAGUGUAGCCAGAGAACUACAUCCCCUGACAUCCUUUAAGAGCCAUGACCACUCCUGCCCUUGCUUUGUGACAGGCACUCCUGGAUGCUGAAGUGCUGUUGCUGUGCACCACUAUGCAUCCUGUGUGAGGAUGAGCACUCCAGUCCUUGCUCCCUCUUCCCGUGGCUGGCUCAUUAGCCAGAGCAAACUGUGGCCUUGAAGGAGCAGAAGGAGCAUUUGACUCUUCCCAGCUCUCAGUCUUUGGAAAAUUGAGCAAAGUGGAAUGAAAGCCAUUUAUUCAUUUAACUGGCAGUUAUUUAUUGAGCAUCUAUUAUGUGGCAGGCACCGUGGUGACACUGAAAAGAGAAGGGUGAACAAGGACAGUCCUGAGCUCAAGCAGGCUGCUGGCAGGUGGUAGUGGGGGCAGACAAGCAAAGGGGCACCCAUGCCAUGGCCUGCAAUGCACCACCUCCAGGACAAGGUUUGGGACCCAUCCCUGGGUCUUGGGGGACAUUCUAAAAGGAAGCAGUGGCUCAGCAUAGACCUGAAGGACAAGAAGGCACCAGUCAUGUGUGGAGUGGGUUGGUGGAGAUGCGCAGAGUGCAAGGAGGUCUGGAGGUGAGACCUCCAGGCAGAAUGGAGGGAGGUGUGUCCCAUAGCAUGUGGACUCUAAGGGGCUGGGAGAUCUUAGGGGUCCCUGGAGGCUGACUGAAGGCUGGCCAGGGAGCCUGCCUGGUAAGGGCCUCCAAGGUCAGGUUUGGGUGUAAGAGUAGCCAUUUCUAGCACUGGUUGAGGUGCACUUCCCUGUCAGUGCCCCAAAAUCCUUCAGCAGUGUCUGAUACGAUGUUCUAGACUGGCAUUGUUUCCAGUGCAGGCCCUGUCUCAUUCUUCAGGAAGCAUGCUCAUGGCAAUACCCGGAGUCUCCACUGCAAGACCAGAGUGACGGAGGCAGCAGAGCUCCUCAGCAGGCCAGGAGUCUCCAGAGGCACUGCCGAAUGUCUAAGAAGCAACCUCAUUGUAUUCCCAAGACCUGGGAAUCCAGGUCUCGCAGAUACGAUGAUACAAUCUAUAGCCAGGACAUCUCUUCAUGUGUAGUUUUCAAUGAAUACUAGGAUAAGCAACUAUCCCAGUCUUCCCAGGAUUGAGGGGCUUCUCCAGAUGCUGCACUUCUGGUGCUAAAAAUGAGAAACUGAAAUGAAUUAGUCACCCAAGGAAUGCUGACCCUGUGCUAUAUGAUCACAUUUACUCUUUAAAGCAAUGCUUUGAGACAUGAAAGCCAGAUAGGGAAGAAUUUGCAGCCUCAUACUGAUUGGCCAGUUGAGGAGUCAACUCAUCUCUCUUAUAGAAAAAAGAAGAUUACAUUUACGGAAUACAGAAUAUACUGUGCUCUCUACUUACCAAGAGAUUUCUUUCUCUACUGACAACUUUCUGUUGACGUGGUUACUGUGCAGGUUCUGACAGUCGAUUCUUUCCACCUAGUUCACUGCUGAAGCUAUAAUGAUUUCCAUUUUGCAAAAAGAGGAUGAUUACUUAUUAUCUGUGACCAUUUCUCAAUUCCAGAACAAUUGAGCUGCAUAGUCCCUGCAAUCUUAUAAAGGCAUUUGGCCUGGAAGAUGCUCUGCAGCCAUGUGCCAAGAAUAACGGCUAUAGGGACAAUGUUUCAUUAACCCCAAAGCAGCAACCUGAACCUCUUACUGUACAAUAUCUGCUCCGUUCAGAAUUAGCUCGACUUGAGUCACAGGAUGAAGCUUACCAAAAGGAAUUUCCACGUCCAAGGAAGGAACCAAGAUCACUGAGAGGUUAUAGUAUGAAAAGUGAAGAGAAAAAACCUAUUCUAAACAUUUUAUUAAUUGUCAAUAAUUAUUUUAAAAUAUUUAAUAUAGUCUCCUACCUGGUCCACUGGCAUCAAGCUGCCAAAUUUACACGGUCACUUUGGGAAGCCAGCUGGCAGGCAAACAUGGAAAGUGCUGGCUCCUAGCGUAGUGAGAAGACCACAGAUAGAUGGUAAUUUUCUUCUUUGUUUUAUUUUUCUUUUUCUUCUCUCCCUCUUUUUCUUCCCUCUUGCCUUUCCCUCCCAUUGCCCACUUUCUUUUUUUGGCUGCCGAAGAUUUAUUGCCUUUCAGUACUUAUAGAUGAUGUUUUCAUAAGUUCUAAUGAGGUCCCAGCAGUUUUUAACAAUAACAGGACAUUACUGUUCCUAAGAUAUAUUAUGUGUUUUCCCUCAUCUUUCUCCCUUGAAUGAAAUGCUUAGAAGUAGGCUAACCCCCAAUUCCCUUCCCUUUACUAUGAUAAAUGGCUCCAUUACUUAAUAGGGCUAAAUACUCUGCUGUGACUUUUAUACUGCUGAUUUGAAUAAAAUCUUACGAAAAGCU